RNAcentral lists this ribosomal RNA (484 nucleotides) under uncultured bacterium. Its description in RNAcentral is "partial 16S ribosomal RNA". It matches the Rfam family "Bacterial small subunit ribosomal RNA", at positions 28 to 523 of the family's 1533-position model. The record is from RNAcentral.
GACGAACGCUGGCGGCGUGCUUAACACAUGCAAGUCGAACGAUGAAGCCGGAGCUUGCUCUGGUGAAUUAGUGGCGAACGGGUGAGUAACACGUGAGUAACCUGCCCUUGACUCUGGGAUAACUGCGGGAAACUGUAGCUAGUACCGGAUACGACCCUCGGAGGCAUCUCCUGGGGGUGGAAAGAAUGUCGGUCAAGGAUGGACUCGCGGCCAAUCAGCUAGUUGGUGAGGUAAAGGCUCACCAAGGCGACGACGGGUAGCCGGCCUGAGAGGGUGACCGGCCACACUGGGACUGAGACACGGCCCAGACUCCUACGGGAGGCAGCAGUGGGGAAUAUUGCACAAUGGGCGCAAGCCUGAUGCAGCAACGCCGCGUGAGGGAUGACGGCCUUCGGGUUGUAAACCUCUUUUAGCAGGGAAGAAGCGAAAGUGACGGUACCUGCAGAAAAAGCACCGGCUAACUACGUGCCAGCCGCCGCCGUAA